GACGAACGCUGGCGGCGUGCCUAAUACAUGCAAGUAGAACGCUGAAGAGAGGAGCUUGCUCUUCUUGGAUGAGUUGCGAACGGGUGAGUAACGCGUAGGUAACCUGCCUUGUAGCGGGGGAUAACUAUUGGAAACGAUAGCUAAUACCGCAUAACAAUGGAUGACACAUGUCAUUUAUUUGAAAGGGGCAAUUGCUCCACUACAAGAUGGCCCUGCGUUGUAUUAGUUAGUAGGUGAGGUAAUGGCUCACCUAGGCGACGAUACAUAGCAGACCUGAGCGGGUGGUCGGCCACACUGGGACUGAGACACGGCCCAGACGCCUACGGGAGGCAGCAGGAGGGAAGCUUCGGCAAGGGGGGCAACACUGACCGAGCAACGCGGCGUGAGGGAAGAAGGUUUUCGGAUCGUAAAGCUCGGUUGUAAGUCAAGAACGGGUGUGAGAGUGGAAAGUUCACACUGUGACGGUAGCUGACCAGAAAGGGACGGCUAACUACGUG
Molecule: ribosomal RNA, 497 nt
Filed under: uncultured bacterium
Lineage: Bacteria
Description: partial 16S ribosomal RNA
Rfam family: Bacterial small subunit ribosomal RNA
Source: RNAcentral